UCAGAGGCCCGACAGCCUCUUUCUCAGGAGGACGCAGCCAGCCUUUCCUGGAGACCCUUGUACCUUCCUUCUGCAGACUGGCAGAGAGCUGCCCUCUCUCUCUGGACACACAGAACCUUCCGAGAGCUGUUGAAAGAGGAAGAUGUUCACUUAACUUACCAAGACUGGUUACACCUGGAGCUGGAAAUUCAACCUGAAGCUGAUGCUCUUUCAGAUACUGAACGCUCAAGGAGUUAUGACCGCUCAGAAAAUUCUGAUUUUGUCUUUGGUGGCCGCACGGGAAAUGACGAUAUUAUAUCCAGAUUGCAGGAGAUGGUAGCUGACCUGGAGCUGCAGCAAGACCUCUCAGUGCCUCUCGGCCACACCCCCUCCCAGGGGCACUUCCUCUUUGGGAUUUUCCGCAGACGGCUCCAGGCUCUGACAAGCGGGUGGAGCGUGGCUGCCAGCCUUCAGAGACAGAGGGAGCUGCUAAUGUACAAACGGAUCCUCCUCCGCCUGCCUUCGUCUGUCCUCUGCGGCAGCAGCUUCCAGGCAGAACAGCCCAUCACUGCCAGAUGCGAGCAGUUCUUCCACUUGGUCAACUCUGAGAUGAGAAACUUCUGCUCCCUCGGAGGUGCCCUGACACAGGACAUCACUGCCCAUUUCUUCAGGGGCCUCCUGAACGCCUGUCUGCGGAGCAGAGACCCCUCCCUGAUGGUCGACUUCAUAUUGGCCAAGUGCCAGAUGAAAUGCCCCUUAAUUUUGACCUCUGCUCUGUUGUGGUGGCCAAGCCUGGAGCCUGUGCUGCUCUGCCGGUGGAGGAGACACUGCCAGAGCCCGCUGCCCCGGGAACUGCAGAAGAUGCAAGGAGGCCGGCAGUUUGCCAGCGAUUUCCUCUCCCCUGAGGCUGCCUCCCCAGCACCCAACCCAGACUGGCUCUCAGCUGCUGCACUGCACUUUGCCAUUCAACAAGUCAGGGACGAAAACGUCAGGAAGCAGCUAAAGAAGCUGGACUGCCAGAGAGAGGAGCUAUUGGUUUUCCUUUUCUUCUUCUCCUUGAUGGGCCUGCUCUCGUCACAUCUGACCUCAAAUAGCGCCACAGACCCACUGAAGGCUUUCCACAUUUGUGCAGCAAUCCUCGAGUGUUUAGAGAAGAGGAAGAUAUCCUGGCUGGCACUCUUCCAGUUGACAGAGAGUGGUAAGAAACACGCUGCUGAGGCGCAAAUGCGGAGGGCCGCUCUUUUCAGAGGCAACUUUCAAAUGGUUAAGAACGAGCCCUCCUUUGAGGUUCACUAAUUCAUUUCUAUGAGUUUAUGCUCUUGCUAAGUUGAUAAGCUCCAUUUUAGUUGGGACAGAUUAAGUACAAACUUGUUUAAAGCAAUAAGAUAAUUUAUUGGCUCACGGGUCAACCCCAGGACCAAUGGGCCUAUCGUGGGGACUGCCUCUGUCUGUACCACACCCACCCUAGUGCGAGA
RNAcentral lists this small RNA (1454 nucleotides) under Pongo abelii (Sumatran orangutan). RNAcentral's name for it is "retained intron". Lineage: Eukaryota; Metazoa; Chordata; Mammalia; Primates; Hominidae. The record is from RNAcentral.